Molecule: long non-coding RNA, 673 nt
Organism: Passer domesticus (house sparrow)
Lineage: Eukaryota; Metazoa; Chordata; Aves; Passeriformes; Passeridae
Exons: 3
Source: RefSeq, a predicted model, not a curated record
UUCUUGUCUUCUUUAGAAAUCAUAUUCCCUGCAUGUAACAUUUAAUUAAAAACCAAUCAAAAUCUAGACAAAAUUAAGACUAAUAACCAUUUGAAAUGAAGUAUAAUUUGAAAUCUCAAAUGCCUACUAAACUCCUCUUAAGGAACUUUUCCUUAUGAAAAAUUUCAAAGAGAAGGGCACAUAGCACAAUUUCUGGCCUUGUUAUAAGCUCCCAACAUAUCAUUCAGAAAUUCUAAAAUGUGGAAAAACUCUGGGUGAUUCAUAAAUAAUGUUACUUAUGUAGAAAAUCUCAGCACAUUAAGGAGCAUGACCAAAAAUAUUAACAUACAUUUACCAUAGAUUCUUUGUCUGAGUCUCUUUUCCCUUCAGUCAGUGGCUUUAUGUUGAGUUCAUCAGUCAUGGCUGAGACUUCUAAAAAGACAACUCCAAAUUAUUAAGGAUUAGGACAGCGCUCCAGAAUUUUUUCAGGAGUUCAAGUGGAAUUGAAAACAGUGAAUAAGUGUAUGAGUAAUGGUGAUGAAGAAUUCCUCUAACAUAUUCCUGUACUUUUUUAACUGAAAACUUUCUGAGAGAUCUAAAAAGUCCAGAUAUCAUGGAAAGGGAGAACUUCUGGUGAAAGCUUGGCAUGCAAGCUCUGAGCCACUGGAAUUGGGAGGCACGACUGAUCUUGCAG